This 450-nucleotide ribosomal RNA is filed under the name uncultured bacterium. RNAcentral's name for it is "partial 16S ribosomal RNA". It matches the Rfam family "Bacterial small subunit ribosomal RNA", at positions 354 to 796 of the family's 1533-position model. The record is from RNAcentral.
GUGGGGAAUUUUGGACAAUGGGCGAAAGCCUGAUCCAGCAAUGCCGCGUGCAGGAUGAAGGUCCUCGGGUUGUAAACUGCUUUUGUACGGAACGAAAAGCCUGGGGCUAAUAUCCCCGGGUCAUGACGGUACCGUAAGAAUAAGCACCGGCUAACUACGUGCCAGCAGCCGCGGUAAUACGUAGGGUGCAAGCGUUAAUCGGAAUUACUGGGCGUAAAGCGUGCGCAGGCGGUUUUGUAAGACAGUGGUGAAAUCCCCGGGCUCAACCUGGGAACUGCCAUUGUGACUGCAUAGCUGGAGUGCGGCAGAGGGGGAUGGAAUUCCGCGUGUAGCAGUGAAAUGCGUAGAUAUGCGGAGGAACACCGAUGGCGAAGGCAAUCCCCUGGGCCUGCACUGACGCUCAUGCACGAAAGCGUGGGGAGCAAACAGGAUUAGAUACCCUAGUAGUCC